UGGGGAAUAUUGGGCAAUGGGGGAAACCCUGACCCAGCAACGCCGCGUGAAGGAAGAAGGCUUUCGGGUUGUAAACUUCUUUUACCAGGGACGAAGAAAGUGACGGUACCUGGAGAAAAAGCUCCGGCUAACUACGUGCCAGCAGCCGCGGUAAUACGUAGGGAGCGAGCGUUGUCCGGAUUUACUGGGUGUAAAGGGCGUGUAGGCGGAGCUGCAAGUCAGAAGUGAAAUCUCCGGGCUCAACCCGGAAACUGCUUUUGAAACUGUAGCCCUUGAGUAUCGGAGAGGCAGGCGGAAUUCCGUGUGUAGCGGUGAAAUGCGUAGAUAUACGGAGGAACACCAGUGGCGAAGGCGGCCUGCUGGACGACAACUGACGCUGAGGCGCGAAAGCGUGGGGAGCAAACAGGAUUAGAUACC
This 417-nucleotide ribosomal RNA is filed under the name uncultured bacterium. RNAcentral describes it as "bacterial SSU rRNA". It matches the Rfam family "Bacterial small subunit ribosomal RNA", at positions 355 to 786 of the family's 1533-position model. The record is from RNAcentral.